Molecule: long non-coding RNA, 1315 nt
Filed under: Aedes aegypti (yellow fever mosquito)
Lineage: Eukaryota; Metazoa; Arthropoda; Insecta; Diptera; Culicidae
Description: lncRNA AAEL024724
Source: RNAcentral
CGCACUUAUCGUUUAUCAGUCAUUAUAUUAGUGUUAGUGAUAUCGAUUAUACUGUCAGUUUCAGAUUCGACAGGCGUCGCGAUUCCAAAACAAAAAACAAUUUUCUCGUUCAGAAGUCCCACAGAAAUUUCAGUCAAAAGAGCAGACGACGCUAAUUCAGAAAGAUAAGCAAACGCGCGGGGCCUUUUGCGAAUGAUUCCUACAGUGAUGAUUUCCUUGAGCUGCCUCACAAAAAUUUCGCCGCAUACUGCCGGUUGUGCUUUUUCAUCUCCCAGCUGGAACAUUCGGCGCAAGAGGAACGAAAUGGACGCGACGAAGGAAAGUGCGGGAUGUGUGGAUUAUCUUCAAAGUGUGACGAUUAUUGCAACAGAACCGCAGGAACUUGCCAUGGAAGUAGCGGUUCCGGAAUAACUGGUAGAGACGGAAGUGGCGGAAGAUCCGACUCCAAUGGAGAUAACGGACGAAUGUGUACAACGACCGUGGGUCCAUAACCAUCCGCCCUGGAAGCUUCUGUAGUAGCCGACGAGGACGACGACAAUGUUUGGAUUACGUCCGUGGAAACGAUUCCGAUUGCGUUCGAUCUGAGCGAAGAUAACAACGAUCCGUUCAUCAAGAUGACCAACGAUUGGUACUGUUGUAAGGUGUGUUCCCGCCUCUACCAGGCGUUUCCCCAACUGGUGAGAACCUUCGCGAUGUAAACCCGGACAAGGCGGAGAUAUUGCGCCAACGAUCGAAAGAGUCCUACUUCCGGGCCAAGGAAAGUGACUUGUAAUUGGUGCUGUACGCAAUUUUAAAAUAACAAAUCUAAUUAAGGUACCGUGGGGCAAGUGGGUAAUGGAUUUCGCAUAGUUGGGAUUCUUCAAAUUCUAGAGACUUUCAAUUAAAACAAAUGAGGUCGUGCAUAUAUUUCAGCUUGACUCCCUCCCAUUAGUAUGCUGAAAUGGAUUUCUAUGUAAAAUUGAAGAAAUAGGUACAGAAAGUUUUUGAAAAACGUCACCUUACUUUUCACUUGCCCCAUUACCUUUAACCUUUGUUAAGGCGUCCCAGUAAACAAUAAGUAACAUGUAAACAAAGAACAUUUCAUUCUUGUUACUAUAAUUUUCUUCUGUUCAGUUAUGUUUAUUGAAACAAUUCGACAACAUUAUAACUGCACUGCAACAUUUCCAAAGUUAGUUCUUACAGCGUGGGAUAGCAAUUGCAUUUGUGCUCUGUAGAAUUUCCACCGCUCGUUAUUUGUUUUUAAGAAUAUCGGAUAUGACGUUAGUUCAAUAAAGUAUUUAGAAACUUGUUUAUAUAAAUAGACCUUUACCCUAUU